Molecule: ribosomal RNA, 275 nt
Filed under: uncultured bacterium
Lineage: Bacteria
Description: partial 16S ribosomal RNA
Rfam family: Bacterial small subunit ribosomal RNA
Source: RNAcentral
AUACGGAGGGUGCAAGCGUUAUUCGGAAUCACUGGGCGUAAAGGACGCGUAGGCGGGUUGGCAAGUCAGAUGUGAAAUCCUACAGCUUAACUGUAGAACUGCAUUUGAAACUGCUAACCUAGAGUAUGGGAGGGGGAGAUGGAAUUAGUGGUGUAGGGGUAAAAUCCGUAGAUAUCACUAGGAAUACCGAAAGCGAAGGCGAUCUCCUGGAACAUAACUGACGCUAAGGCGUGAAAGCGUGGGGAGCAAACAGGAUUAGAAACCCCUAGUAGUCC